Molecule: ribosomal RNA, 460 nt
Filed under: uncultured bacterium
Lineage: Bacteria
Description: partial 16S ribosomal RNA
Rfam family: Bacterial small subunit ribosomal RNA
Source: RNAcentral
CCUACGGGAGGCAGCAGUGAGGAAUAUUGGUCAAUGGGCGAGAGCCUGAACCAGCCAAGUCGCGUGAAGGAUGACGGCCCUAUGGGUUGUAAACUUCUUUUGUCAGGGAGCAAUUGAGUCCACGUGUGGUCUUAGCGAGAGUACCUGAAGAAAAAGCAUCGGCUAACUCCGUGCCAGCAGCCGCGGUAAUACGGAGGUUGCGAGCGUUAUCCGGAUUUAUGGGGUUUAAGGGGUGCGUAGGCGGAAUAUCAAGUCAGCGGUAAAAAUUCGGGGCUCAACCCCGUCGUGCCGUUGAAACUGGUGUUCUUGAGUGGGCGGGAAGUAUGCGGAAUGCGUGGUGUAGCGGUGAAAUGCAUAGAUAUCACGCAGAACUCCGAUUGCGAAGGCAGCAUACCGGCGCCCAACUGACGCUGAAGCACGAAGGCGUGGGUAUCGAACAGGAUUAGAUACCCGAGUAGUC